This 1479-nucleotide long non-coding RNA is filed under the name Sander lucioperca (pikeperch). Its description in RNAcentral is "lncRNA (ENSSLUG00000009199.1)". Lineage: Eukaryota; Metazoa; Chordata; Actinopteri; Perciformes; Percidae. The record is from RNAcentral.
CUUAAAUCCAUAAGAAUAAGUUGAAGUAGUGAGAAUAGUUGAAAAAGUGAAAUGACAUCUUGAUCAGGGACACAAUGACUAAUGUACCCCAGUGGGAUUUGAACCAGGAUCUCCCACACCAAAGUCAUGUGUCCUAUCCACUACACUAUCAUCUGUAUAGAUCACAAAGCCUGUCUUUGAUCAUUAAUCAUCACACCUGCUAAUGAGUGAGAGACAGUGUGAGAGAACCGUAGGUUCUUUAUUUAGAACUGUAGGUGAAAGUAUGGAGGGGCUGAAAAUGUUGGGAGCGGAAGAAAAUUUGAAGGAUUUGAAGCAUGAUCUCAUUGACUUCAAUGUUAAAAAAAGUGUUAAAAAGCUUAAUAUUUUAAAAAGUAUUAAUAGUAGAAAAAAAGUUGAAGAAGUCCAGUCAUUAGCUGAAAGAGCUGAACAUUUUAAAAGUUGAAUGGUUUUAAUAGCUCAACGUAAGCAGAAGUUACGGAGAGCCAAAAAACGUACGGAAGAGGGAAUAAAAACAAGAAACAGAAACAGACAAACAGACAGAGACAGACAGACAUACAGAGAGAAACAAACAGAGACAGAGAGAGAGACAGAGACAGGGAGAAACAGAGACAGAGACAGACAGAGAGAGACAGGGAGAAACAGAAACAGACAGACAGAGAGACAUAGACAGACAGAGAGAGACAGAGACAGACAGACAGACAGACAGACAGAGAGAAACAAACAGACAGACAGAGAGACAGAGAGAGACAGAGACAGGGAGAAACAGAAACAGACAGACAUAGACAGGGAGAAACAGAGACAGAAAGACAGAGAAAAACAGAGAGAGAUAGAGAGAGAGACAGAGACAGACAGAGAGAUACAGAGACAGACAGAGAGACAGAGACAGAGAGACAUAGAAAGACAGAGAGAGACAGAGACAGACAGAGCGAGACAGACAGGGAGACAGAGACAAACAGAGAGAGACAGACAGACAGACCGAGACAGAGAGAAACAAACAGAGAGACAUGGACAGACAGAGAGAGACAUAGACAGGGAGAAACAGAAACAGACGGAGACAGACAGACAGAGAGAAACAAACAGACAGACAGAGAGACAGAGAGAGACAGAGACAGGAGAAACAGACAGACAGAGACAAGGAGAAACAGAGACAGACAGAGACAGACAGAGAGAAAGAGAGACAGAGACAGACAGAGAGAGACAGAGAGACAGAGACAGAGACAUAGACAGACAGAGAGAGACAGACAGAGACAGACAGAGAGACAGAGAGAGACAGAGACAGACAGACAGACAGAGACAGACAGACAGACAGACAGAGACAGAGACAGACAGACAGAGAGACAGAGACAGAGAGAGACAGAGACAGAGAGACAGAGACAGACAGAGAGAGACAGAGAGAGAGAGACAGAGACAGACAGAGAGAGACAGAGACAGAGAGACAGAGACAGACAGAGAGAGACAGAGACAGAGACAGACAGAGAC